RNAcentral lists this long non-coding RNA (4045 nucleotides) under Fragaria vesca (wild strawberry). Its description in RNAcentral is "long non-coding RNA (FVES_LNC005508)". The record is from RNAcentral. Lineage: Eukaryota; Viridiplantae; Streptophyta; Magnoliopsida; Rosales; Rosaceae.
CAAGCUCAAAUCCAUAAAUCUUGACCAACAAUUAAUCCAUGCUUCAAACUUAAAUAAUUUCCAAAAUCAUCUCAUAAGCCAAAAUUCUAAUAGAAGCUCGGAAAAUAAAAUAAUAACUUAUAGAAUCUUGCAUGCAUAUUUAUUUAAAACCAAAAUGUCCACUCACUAAUUUAGGCAUAAGCCCAACGAUAUCCGCAUCACCACUCAAGCAAGGUUCCCUUCACAUCCUAGCACAACAACCAUGCUUAGAACCAAACUUCAAUUCCAGAAAAUAAAUACGUAAAUAAAAACAUCUAACUCUCUUUCGUUUAACCCACUACUCCUAUUAGGGUUAAACUCACUGGAUUCACAUCAAACUCCACCACAACCUUAAUUCAUCAAUUCUAACAUUCUAGACUAAAUACCAAGGAAAUUCAACGGCCGGAUUUUUCAUUCUAACAACCGGCAAAAUCCUUAAUCUUUGAAAAAUCUCAAACCUUAUCAAAACUCCUCCAAAAAUUCCAAACUAUACUUCAAUAAACUCCUCUUAUUAAAACCAUCACAAAAACAGGAAAAACUGCCCUUAAGGGGCGGCGCCGCCGCCUGUUCCGCAGGCAGCCGCGGCCGGCAACCAAACUCCGGCGACGUCCAAUGCCUCCUAAAUUUUAACAGAAUAAUCCGCUCAUCAUGCACAACUACUUUCAUAACUAGCACUUAGUCUAAUUCUAAGGCGAACUAGGGUAAUCGAACCAAAACAUCCAUGAAUCCCUAGAACUUCAAUUAUACAUUACUCAUUAACAAGAUCGAAUUAGACCAAUUCCUUUUGAGCGAUUACUCACCUUGAUGAGGGCUACAAGAUGAGCCAAAAAUCCCGACCUAUGGUGGCCGGAGGAGGGAACUCCGGUGAAGGGGCAGCUGGCAUUUCCGGCGGGUUUUCUCCUCUCUGGCGGUGCUACCGGCUCGGACACUAGGUCGGGAAGAGAGAGGAGACGGCGGGGGUCUGAACUGGGCUGGAGUGGCGGCCGGUUGCCGGCCGGACGGUGGUAGGUGGAGCUGGGAACUUCCAGCGGGUGAGAGGCUCGGGAGAGAAGGGAGGAAGAGAGAGAGAGAGAGAGUGAGGGGGGAUGUCAGGACCUACCCCAGAUUUCCCCUAAAAAUCCGGGAUAAACCCUACGGGACCCACCUCAAGGGAAAUUCUACCAAAAUUUUGGCAUAACCUCCCUUGAAAAUGAGUAACCCUACCUGAAAGAAUAACACCAAAACCCAAAUACUUCUAAAACAAUUUAAUCCACAUCUUCUAGAGCCAUCUGCUCCCCUAAAUAAUCAUCCACCACCUCAACUGAAAUAAUAAUUCAAAAUAUUUUCAUGAAUUUAAUCUCUCAUACAACAUACCAAAUAAACCUUUUUACAACACUCCUAGGUGGAGUCACAAGCUCUUAACACACACAACAACAACAAUAACAACAAUAUCAUUUUAAACAUCCCAUGGUUAUCAGAGCAACUACUAGGAAAGAAGAAAAUACAAAUGUAGGUUAAACUAGUAACCUAUGAGAGAAAACUGGAUGAGGUGGGAAAUAUGACUCGCCUCCUACCCUCGUCGAACAGAAUUCUACAGAUUGGGCAUUUAAAACGAAAGGUCCAAGGGAGAAGCAUUUAAAACGUUAGAGUGAGUGGACAAAAAUAAACAAUAAAAUACGAACUCAAUGAUAGAGCAUUUAAAUCAAUUUAAUGCUUUUCCCAUAUUUUCCAUUGAGAAAAUAUUUAUGCAUGCCAUUCUUGGAAAUCUUUCCGAAAUAAUUAGAGGCAACAAGAAUGAACCAAUCCCAUUGGUUCCCAAUAAAUCAAUAAAAAUGGGGAAGAGGUUUCACCAUAACGAUGAGCCUCCCAAGCUAGGGUCAGAGCCUCCCAGGCUAUAAUAGCGUCCCACGCGAAGCGCCCUACUCACCUAUGGUGAGUAGUCGCUAAUAAUGGCUAGCUAACAUAUAAAUAUAAAUACCGAUCGGUUGCCUCCCAAGCUAUAAUGGUGUCCCACACUAAGCGCCCUACUCACCUAUGGUGAGUAGCCGCUAAUAAUGAUUAGCUAGCAAUAAAGAAUAUAUAUCAACCCUUUAUGGUGAAGUAAAAAUAACUAAUAUUAAGAAUGUCACUUCCCCAAAUAUAAUAUAAAUCACUUGACAUGUCCCACAUGUCAAAUAAAAUGAGCAAGAGAGUUCCCGAAAAAUAAAUGGAACUCAUUAAAUCCAAUAAAAAAUAUUAAAACUCCAAUAUGCUCACAACACAUUAAAUCUCCAAUAUGCAUUUGAAAUUAAUUAAACUUUAGAGCAUGCAUAACAUUCAAAUCAAGGGUCCACUCAUAGUGCUCGGCUAUGCCUGCCGACGACCCGAGGCUUCCUCCAAAUGAUCCUCCUCACGUCCUGAACAAUAAAUAAUUAUUAAGCCUUCAGACCAGGAUAAAAGUUUAAUAAAAUUUCCAAAAUAAAAAGGAAGCCUAUAAUUUCAUUUCUCUUGCCCAACUUCUCCACUUUUUACCUAAUAAGGCUCACAUUACUCCGCACUUACCGAAAGUCAUAAUUUAACCUUUUUAGACUUUAAAACUUGCUAAACCAACAGUCGGAUUUCCAUUCGAAUAACCGCCUAAAUCCUUAAUCAUUGAUAAAUGCCAAACCUUAUCAAAUCUCCUCCAAAAUUUCCAAACUAUACUUCAUUAAACUCCUCUCAUGAAAACAAACCCAAAAUCAUGAAAAACUGACCCUAAAGGGGGGCGGCGCCGGCCGGCAGCCUUAUUCCGGCGACCUCCAAUGCUUCUCAAAUUUUAACAGAAUAAUCCUCUCUUCAUGCAUAACAACUUUCAUAACUAGCACUUAGUCCAAUUCUAAGGCUAACUAGGGUAAUCGAACCAAAACAUCCAUAAAUCUCUAGAACUUCAAUUAUACAUUUCACCCUAACAAGAUCGAAUUAGACCGAUUCCUUUUGAGGGAUUACUCACUUUGAUGAGGGCUACAUGAUGAGCCAAAAAUCCCGACAUAUGGUGGCCGAAGGUGGGAACUCCGGCGAAGAGCUAUCCGGCGUCUCCGGCGGGUUUUCUCCUCUCCGGCGGCGUUACCAGCUCGGACACUAGGCCGGGGAGAGAGAGGAGGUGGCGGGGGUCUGAACUGGGGUGGAGCGGCAGGCCAUGCUGGGGAAGUUCCGGCAGCAAAGGGGGCUCGAGGGAGAGAAGAGGGAAGGGAGAGAGAGAGAGAGAGAGAGAAAUGAGGUGGGCUUUUCCCCUCUUAUUUGGCCCGGUCCACAGCUUAAUACCCCAAAAAUAAAGCCUACUAAAAAUUACCCCAUUUUUACCAAAUUAACUUUACCCUUUUAAUUGAUAACUUUUUCACGCUAACUCCGAUUUUAACGCAUAGCAUGUCAACGAACUCGUAUUAACGUCCUCUACGACUUUCAUGAACAAAGUUUUCCCAAAUUCCAAACGGAAGAAAAAGUCAACUCUAAGGUCCUUAAGUAAUAAACGGUUACUCAACACGGUAAAAGACCAAAAUAAUACCAAAGUAAAUAACCGUAAAAUUACUUAAGAACUGGGGUAUGACAGGGGGGGUGGUGUUGGGCUGCCCACACCCGGUCCAACAAUAUAACCCAACAAAAUAUACCCAUUAAAAUUUUACCCCCUUUUUACCAACUCAAAAACUUUACCAUUUAUCUGAUAACUUUUUUAUACUAACCCCGAUUUUAAUGUAUAACAUGUCUACGAACUCGUAAUAACGUCCUCUACGACUUUCAUGAAGAAAGUUUUCCCAAAUUCUAAACGGAAGAAAAAGUCAACUUUAGGGGUUACUGCCUUUCACCUCAGACUCCAAUAAGCGCUAAGCCAAUCAUAUUAUUAUUUCCAACAAUUCGCCCAGCGAAUUAAUUAUUACUAACCAAUAAAAACCGUCGGAAUCUCAUCCCUAAAUAAUAAAUUCAACAGCCGUCAUUCACAAACGACCUAAAAGCACAAGGAGAAAAUCGCUCUCAUAAACGAUCAACAUUCCUGAGACUGGUUCCCUCAAAUAUGAGAAAAUACGAUGACUUGGCG